AUGUGUGAGAACAAGGAGCCAAAAAUAUUGGAAAACGACCAUAAGAUAGAUAACAGAUUCAGUGAUUUGGUUAUUAUGGAGGUUGAUGGAACUUGGUCUACUGUCGGAAUUCAGAGCCAUAAAGCAUUGGACUUGGACAAGAGCUCUUCCAUGGCAGCAACCAGCAGUCCAAGGCCAAGCAAGCUAUCUCAAGGGAGGGGAUUCUCAAGUCACCCCACUUCCAAUCCAUGGACGCUAUCCACAAGGACCAAGAUGACGACGACCAGGAAGGAAGGAGCCCACGCCCGACCCCGACGACGGCGGUUCCAUUUGUGUGCCGACGUCGACCACAACCUCCCUCUCUAUAAUAUGAACAGCGGGGGGCGUCUGAGCCUGCAGUCGGAGUAG
This 387-nucleotide ribosomal RNA is filed under the name Triticum aestivum (bread wheat). RNAcentral's name for it is "partial small subunit ribosomal RNA". The record is from RNAcentral. Lineage: Eukaryota; Viridiplantae; Streptophyta; Magnoliopsida; Poales; Poaceae.